GGACUGAACAGCUGCGGGCGGUGUCUCGAAAGGGCCCGUCUGAGGAAAGUCCGAGCUCCACAGGGCAGGAUAACGGCUAACGGCCGCCGGGGGCGACCCCAGGGAUAGUGCAACAGAAAGAAACCGCCGGCUUUUGCCGGUAAGGAUGGAAAGGCGAGGUAAGAGCUCACCAGCGCACGGGAGACCGUGCGGCUCUGUAAACCCUAUCCGGAGCAACACCGUGGAGGGAACAUGGGCCUUUGGUCCGGCGCCGGCCCGGCGCGUUCCCAGGAGGUGGCAUGAGCCGGGCGGCAACGUCCGGACCAGAUAGAUGGCUGUUCACGACAGAACUCGGCUUAUAGGUCCCCUCG
This 350-nucleotide RNase P RNA is filed under the name Candidatus Heritagella caecorum. Its description in RNAcentral is "Bacterial RNase P class A". It matches the Rfam family "Bacterial RNase P class A". Rfam says of the family: Ribonuclease P (RNase P) is a ubiquitous endoribonuclease, found in archaea, bacteria and eukarya as well as chloroplasts and mitochondria. Its best characterised activity is the generation of mature 5'-ends of tRNAs by cleaving the 5'-leader elements of precursor-tRNAs. The record is from RNAcentral. Lineage: Bacteria; Bacillati; Bacillota; Clostridia.